GACAGAGGUGCCGAGCGUUAGGCGGAAUCACUGGGCUUAAAGCGUGUGUAGGCGGACUUCUAAGUGCCUUGUGAAAUCCCACGGCUCACCCGUGGAACUGCUGGGCAUACUGGGAGUCUUGAGCCACUUAGGGGCAACUGGAACAAACGGUGGAGCGGUGAAAUGCGUAGAUAUCAUUUGGAACGCCAAUGGUGAAAACAGCUCGCUGGGAAUGAUCUGACGCUGAGACGCGAAAGCCAGGGGAGCGAACGGG
Molecule: ribosomal RNA, 253 nt
Filed under: uncultured bacterium
Lineage: Bacteria
Description: partial 16S ribosomal RNA
Rfam family: Bacterial small subunit ribosomal RNA
Source: RNAcentral